RNAcentral lists this ribosomal RNA (253 nucleotides) under uncultured Pseudomonas sp. Its description in RNAcentral is "partial 16S ribosomal RNA". It matches the Rfam family "Bacterial small subunit ribosomal RNA", at positions 524 to 776 of the family's 1533-position model. The record is from RNAcentral. Lineage: Bacteria; Pseudomonadati; Pseudomonadota; Gammaproteobacteria; Pseudomonadales; Pseudomonadaceae.
UACAGAGGGUGCAAGCGUUAAUCGGAAUUACUGGGCGUAAAGCGCGCGUAGGUGGUUAGUUAAGUUGGAUGUGAAAUCCCCGGGCUCAACCUGGGAACUGCAUUCAAAACUGACUGACUAGAGUAUGGUAGAGGGUGGUGGAAUUUCCUGUGUAGCGGUGAAAUGCGUAGAUAUAGGAAGGAACACCAGUGGCGAAGGCGACCACCUGGGCUAAUACUGACACUGAGGUGCGAAAGCGUGGGGAGCAAACAGG